Molecule: ribosomal RNA, 504 nt
Filed under: uncultured bacterium
Lineage: Bacteria
Description: partial 16S ribosomal RNA
Rfam family: Bacterial small subunit ribosomal RNA
Source: RNAcentral
AUUGAACGCUGGCGGCAGGCCUAACACAUGCAAGUCGAGCGGUAACACAGGGAGCUUGCUCCCGGGUGACGAGCGGCGGACGGGUGAGUCAUGUCUGGGAAACUGCCUGCUGGAGGGGGAUAACUACUGGAAACAGUAGCUAAUACCGCAUAAUGUCGCAAGACCAAAGAGGGGGACCUUCGGGCCUCUUGCCAUCAGAUGUGCCCAGAUGGGAUUAGCUAGUAGGUGGGGGAACGGCUCACCUAGGCGACGAUCCCUAGCUGGUCUGAGAGGAUGACCAGCCACACUGGAACUGAGACACGGUCCAGACUCCUACGGGAGGCAGCAGUGGGGAAUAUUGCACAAUGGGCGCAAGCCUGAUGCAGCCAUGCCGCGUGUAUGAAGAAGGCCUUCGGGUUGUAAAGUACUUUCAGCGGGGAGGGAGGCGAUAAGGCUAAUAACCUUGUCGAUUGACGUUACCCGCAGAAGAAGCACCGGCUAACUCCGUGCCAGCCGCCGCAGUAA